This is a long non-coding RNA of Magnolia sinica, 819 nucleotides long. RefSeq lists it as uncharacterized. The transcript is spliced from 4 exons. The record is from RefSeq and is a predicted model, not a curated record. NCBI's taxonomy places the organism in Eukaryota, Viridiplantae, Streptophyta, Magnoliopsida, Magnoliales, Magnoliaceae.
GUCCCUUUGGAUAAAAGUAGAGCUAGUCUGACCAUUUAAACUUUCCUUUCAUCAUUAUGUGUUUUUACACCUUAUAGAUUUGAUGAACUUUAACCAUUUUUGCUUUUAGCCCUGUUUGAGGGAUACCAUUCCUAUGAUAAAAAUGCAAUUGCCAAAGUAAUUUUCAGUCUGUCCAGAUACAUAAGGAUCCAUCAGAGGAGGGAUGUUUCAGAUCAUCAAAAUAUACAAUCAUGUGUGCUUGGCUUGUCCAUAAUUGCUUGAGCCAAGAAAUGGACCUCAACCACUAAUUAUCCUUAUAUCGAAUGCUUACAUAGAUGCAUUGAGGUCGGAAAGCCUCGAGCGUGUGCAACCCAGCUCUCUUACAAUCCAACACAGGCCUGGAUAGGUGUGCAAUAUCCAAGCUUUCCAUCAGGUGGUUCCCCACUUCUUGAUGCCACGGUUCAAAAUUCAGCCAAGUCCACUCCAUAUGCUUAUUCAAAGUGGAAGUAACUAUAUAGAGUGUAGGCUCAGGGGUCCACAAUGCUUACAUGGAUGCAUGAUCAAAGCUGCUCAUCAGUUUUAUCCUUGAAGAAAAAGGGAAGAAAAAUCUGUCCACAUAUUUAUAUAUAAAAAAAAAUCCAUAGCUAUUCUUCUUCAUUUGCUAGUUACAGGUGGAGCAUUGGGGGUGGAGCAUUGGUAGCAGACGGGGGCUUUGCUACUUCAUAUGGGGAUGGAUAUGGACUUCAUUCGGUAUGGUUGUUUUUGCAGAAAAUAUUUAUGACUGAAAAUUUAAUUUUAGAUUCUGUCACUCAGAUUAUGAGUGUACAUACUGUUUUAUUA